Non-coding RNA from Lolium perenne, 355 nucleotides. The record is from RefSeq and is a predicted model, not a curated record. Lineage: Eukaryota; Viridiplantae; Streptophyta; Magnoliopsida; Poales; Poaceae.
GAGAAGCCGGGCACACCCGGAGGGGGUAGCAUUGGAUAUAGAACCAUCUCAAAUCACUUUUGUGCAUGCCAUGUGGACACACACAACUUUUGGGGCCAUUCCCUAGGUGCGAUGCUCGAUUUCUGACGAAACCCUAGUUCUGUUGACCGCGCCGUCUACCCCUUUGACUGCGUCCCAUCGGGGUUCCCCCGGUGGGCGUAUGCCUGCGUUUGAGCUUGGUUAGGUCAUAGGUACAUGUGGAAACAAGUACCAUCCCCUAUGAUCCCAAGGUUCUCUCCGGUUCACCUCCGAGGGAGUUCCCCCCUAUACACGCAGAAUCUGCCUAAGUGUAGGAACCCCAUGUCCGAGAAGCCGG